UGGGGAAUAUUGCGCAAUGGACGAAAGUCUGACGCAGCGACGCCGCGUGUGGGAUGAAGCUCUUCGGGGUGUAAACCACUGUUGCCCGGGACGAACCUCCCCUUUCGAGGGGACUGACGGUACCGGGUGAGGAAGCACCGGCUAACUCUGUGCCAGCAGCCGCGGUAAUACAGAGGGUGCGAGCGUUGUCCGGAAUCACUGGGCGUAAAGGGCGCGUAGGUGGCUUGGUAAGCGUGUGGUGAAAGUCCGGGGCUCAACCCCGGAUCUGCCGUGCGAACUGCUGAGCUUGAGCAUUGUAGAGGCAGGUGGAAUUCCGGGUGUAGCGGUGGAAUGCGUAGAGAUCCGGAAGAACACCAGUGGCGAAGGCGGCCUGCUGGGCAAUAGCUGACACUGAGGCGCG
Molecule: ribosomal RNA, 400 nt
Filed under: uncultured bacterium
Lineage: Bacteria
Description: bacterial SSU rRNA
Rfam family: Bacterial small subunit ribosomal RNA
Source: RNAcentral